AUCAAGAGAGGGACGCUGAACCAACUGAGCCACCCAGGCACCCCAUCAGUGACGGUGAUUUUUAAGAAACCUUUCCCUGGAUGCAAUAUGGAGAGUGGACUGGAGGGAAGAACUAACAGAUGUAGGAAUCCUAGUUUGGAGCUGUGGCCAUAAUGCAGGUGCCGUCCUCCGCUCAUGUAAAUGAUCGGUUGAUAUUUUGAACGUUGGGAGAUACGAGAAGGCGUGAAAAGUUCUGCGAGGAAAAGCUUCCAUCCGCCCGGUAAAAGGAUCUGUGAAGCCAGGAGUUAUUCAUAUCCUCCGCCAGGAUGGGCAUCAUUGUAAAAUCUACCUGCCAGUCUUUCCCAGGUAAAGUUCCCCUUUGUGUAGCUUUGGCUAGAGGUGGGACAGGGGGAG
This is a long non-coding RNA of Lynx canadensis (Canada lynx), 393 nucleotides long. RefSeq lists it as uncharacterized. The record is from RefSeq and is a predicted model, not a curated record. NCBI's taxonomy places the organism in Eukaryota, Metazoa, Chordata, Mammalia, Carnivora, Felidae. The transcript is spliced from 3 exons.